This 345-nucleotide unclassified non-coding RNA is filed under the name soil metagenome. Its description in RNAcentral is "partial contains 5.8S ribosomal RNA, internal transcribed spacer 2, and large subunit ribosomal RNA". The stretch from base 1 to 120 matches the Rfam family "5.8S ribosomal RNA", at positions 35 to 154 of the family's 154-position model. The record is from RNAcentral.
GAUGAAGAACGUAGCGAAAUGCGAUACGUAAUGUGAAUUGCAGAAUUCAGUGAAUCAUCGAGUCUUUGAACGCACAUUGCGCCCCCUGGUAUUCCGGGGGGCAUGCCUGUCCGAGCGUCAUUGCUGCCCACAAGCACGGCUUGUGUGUUGGGCCUCCGUCCUCCUCCCGGGGGACGGGCCCGAAAGGCAGCGGCGGCACCGCGUCCGGUCCUCGAGCGUAUGGGGCUUCGUCACCCGCUCUUGUAGGCCCGGCCGGCGCUUGCCGACACAUCAAUCUUUUUUCCAGGUUGACCUCGGAUCAGGUAGGGAUACCCGCUGAACUUAAGCAUAUCAAUAAGCGGAGGA